Ailuropoda melanoleuca (giant panda) is the source of this 1738-nucleotide long non-coding RNA. RefSeq lists it as uncharacterized. Lineage: Eukaryota; Metazoa; Chordata; Mammalia; Carnivora; Ursidae. The record is from RefSeq and is a predicted model, not a curated record. The transcript is spliced from 6 exons.
GUGUUGCAACCCGGCCGGUUGGCGGUUACCUCUAGACAUUUUAGACAACUAAAAGGAAGUCUGUGUUUGCAGACGAGGCCCAAACUUGGAAAACCUUGCAUGAAAUCCGUAUCUGUGAACCCAAGGCAGAGGACAGAGGAGAUGGCAGGUUCCAGCAGCCACGGCUCCUCCAGCCUGGGUCCUAUGUGCCGAGAUGUGUAGAGCCCCCCUGAACCUACGACCGGAGCGGAACUACUGCAGCCUACCCACACACCCAUGAGCAACAAAUGACAGGGUGCUCUUUGCUGCCAGUGCCCAGCCUGGGAAUGCUUUUCAACACUUUAUCUGUGCAAACACCCUUGUGAACACCUGUUGAAGUUCAGUGCUUUCUGCACAGCAGCCCAUGCCUGCCCAGGAUGCUGUACACUGGAAAGUGCAGAUUGUCUUCGGUUUGAAAUGGCUCCAAAACAGCCCGGAGGGCGUGCGGCGGGAGGGACGCGACUGCUCGGAAGAGCCGUCCCACGUGCUUUCGGGGAAACGGCCCCGGAGCGAGAAGGAGCAGAAUUGGGAGGAAACCGAAAAGCGAAAGAGGGACUUGGUGCUGUGACAGCGUGCCUCAUCCUGGGUUCCAUGAAAAAAUUAAGCCUAGCGCCCUGAGGCAUCUGUGUAUGAAUUACUGUCUCUCUUGGGACAACUGAGAAAACAGUCAAGGAAAUCACUGACUGUGGCUUAUGGCUCAGAUGGGAAACCCAAGUUGAGAAAGGCAGUCCCUGAUACACAAUUUCAUUUUUUUUUUUUUAUGAGUGCAUCACACCUUGACCAGUACUGGAAUGAGGAAUCACAGGAUGAGAAGCUGUUGUUGGGGGAGGUGAUGAGAGACGAGUUGAAGACUAAGAAGAGACUAAAUGAUGUAUGACUUCGGAAAGAUCUGUGAGGAAUUAUGGUCAUCGUCCAGAGCUGGGAUUCUUAAGUUUUGGCCAUGGGCCCCUUUGGCAGUCCCAUGAACUCCUUCAAAGAGUAAUGUUUUUAGUUGAAUAAAAUAAAAUACAUGAGAUUAAAUAGAAAACCAGCUACACUGAAAUGCAGAUAUCAAAAUAUUAAAACUAACUUUGUGACAUAGUGCUAUAAGUGCUCGUUAAUGGCAUUAAAUAAGAUCUCGCAGCAGGUCUGACGACUGCAAUUUCAAAAUUGUGCUUAGCAUAAGCCAUAGUUUGAGAUAAUUGUAACAACUGUAAUGUGACAAAAAUGUGUGGGUCAUGGUUUGUUGACUUUACUCCUAAUUGAAGGAAAUUCUAAGUUUCAAUUAGAAGUCUGUAAAAAUAGACUGACGUUUGCCAUCCAAACUCAUGAACCUCCAGAAUUCUGUCCAUACAUGCCAAGUGAGAACUGCCGAUGCAGAGCACCAGAAGCCAUAUGAAGAUUAUAAACAGGGUGAAAUGAUGUGAUUUAUUUUCAGUAGCGCCCUCUGUCUACAUAGGAAGCUGCAUAGAAUUGUUUGUUGUGUUUACUCUAGGGAUGUUGCAGAGCGUGUCCUUCGUCAUGUUUGUAGAGUGUCCUCUUUGAGGACUCUGGUGGAAAUGUUCUAGGUCUCACAGUGGUGGUUACACAACUGUAUGGGUUUGUUAGAAAAGGGUGAAUUUUAUUAUGUGUAUAUUAUACUUCCUUUAGCCAGACUUUAAAAAAUGUAAGCAGUCAGGGGCGCCUGGGUGGUUCAGUCGGUUAAGUGGCCAACUUUUGGUUUCAGUUCAGGUCAUGAUAU